UUGUGUCUCACCACCACUGAGCUGACACCUACAAAGAGGCUGGGGAUGAUACAUAGAGGCAGAUAUACUGGGUGUUGGAAUUUGCCUAAGGAGAGACAUGCAGACUGGAGGGUGGAGGACACAGCAUAAUGGCUAUGCAAGAAAAAACCUCUUAUGCUUGAGGUUCCCAAGUCCCAGAUUCAAUCCCCUGCACCAACAUUAGCCAGAGCUGAGCAGGGCUCUGAAAAAAAAAAAAAAAAAGUGAAGCAGGCUGGUGCAUAUCAGCUGUCAGGAUUGCCAGAAAGCCACUGCCUGCAAGACCCUCACCAGUGCCAGGUGAGCUAGUCAUGAAGGAAAGUCAACAGCACAGAAACCCUUGACCAGAUAUAAUCCAUGAGGGGAGAAGGACUGGAGAAGGCUCUAAGACCCAAGGCCUCCAUCCAGCUCUUAGUGGGGUGAGGUUACGGAACCCAGCCCUUAUGCCCUUUUCUGGAAGGAAUGAGUUUGUAACAGCAGCAGCAGCAACAACAACAAUGGAAAAAAGAUUGCCAGGAGCAGUGGAUUCAUAGUGUGGGUACCGAGCCCCAGGAUAACCCUGGAGGCAAAAAAAAAUCUUGAAAGUUUUGGGGCUUGAAAAUAAGUUUCCCUCCUAAAUUAACUUUCCUUCAGCACUUCUGUGUUUUUUUGUUUUGUUACUUCUGCUCAGCUCUGGUAUAUGGUGUUGUUGGGGAUUGAACCUGAGAACUCAGAGCCUCAGACAUGAGUCUUUUUGUAUAACCAUUAUGCUGUCUCCACGGCACCCCCCCCCCCAGGUAUUUUUCUAAUAAAUUUCCUUGACACUU
Long non-coding RNA from Erinaceus europaeus (western European hedgehog), 821 nucleotides. RefSeq lists it as uncharacterized. The record is from RefSeq and is a predicted model, not a curated record. The transcript is spliced from 2 exons. NCBI's taxonomy places the organism in Eukaryota, Metazoa, Chordata, Mammalia, Eulipotyphla, Erinaceidae.